CCUACGGGAGGCAGCAGUGGGGAAUUUUGCACAAUGGGCGCAAGCCUGAUGCAGCAACGCCGCGUGAGUGAAGAAGGCCCUCUGGGUUGUAAAGCUCUUUCGGCUGGGAAGAAGGGUCUACGUGCUAAUAUCACGUGGAUUUGACGGUACCAGAAGAAGAAGCACCGGCUAACUUCGUGCCAGCAGCCGCGGUAAUACGAAGGGUGCAAGCGUUGUUCGGAAUAACUGGGCGUAAAGGGCGCGUAGGCGGGUUGGUAAGUUAGAUGUGAAAUCCCCGGGCUUAACCUGGGAACUGCAUCUAAUACUGCCGAUCUUGAAUGUUCGAGAGGGUGGUGGAAUUCCCGGUGUAGAAGUGAAAUUCGUAGAUAUCGGGAGGAACAUCCGAGGCGAAGGCGGCCACCUGGCGAAACAUUGACGCUGAGGCGCGAAAGCGUGGGGAUCAAACAGGAUUAGAUACCCUAGUAGUC
This 467-nucleotide ribosomal RNA is filed under the name uncultured bacterium. RNAcentral describes it as "bacterial SSU rRNA". It matches the Rfam family "Bacterial small subunit ribosomal RNA", at positions 338 to 795 of the family's 1533-position model. The record is from RNAcentral.